Long non-coding RNA from Galleria mellonella (greater wax moth), 257 nucleotides. RefSeq lists it as uncharacterized. The transcript is spliced from 2 exons. The record is from RefSeq and is a predicted model, not a curated record. NCBI's taxonomy places the organism in Eukaryota, Metazoa, Arthropoda, Insecta, Lepidoptera, Pyralidae.
CUGUAACCUGUGAACUUCCUCGCGUGAAUUAGGAUAAAAAGUACGUUUUAGUUGAAGUCCAUCGCCGGAGUAAUAGCUUUGCGUACUUACAAUUCACUUAGCAUUUAAUCUUGAAAACUUAAUUAGUUAUAAGAUACCUAGCCAUAGUUAAGAUUGCAGUAUUUAUUUAAGAAUCAUUUUUACUAUAUCUAUGUUUAUAACUUUAACUUUUUUUUUAUAUAAAAAAAAUAUUAUAAAAAUAUAACAGUAAAAUAAUG